AAAUUGACGGGGCCCGCACAAGCGGUGGAGCAUGUGGUUUAAUUCGACGCAACGCGAAGAACCCUUACCUGGACUUGACAUCUGGGAAUCCCUAUGAAAGUAGGGAGUGCCCUUCGGGGAGCCCCAAGACAGGUGCUGCAUGGCUGUCGUCAGCUCGUGUCGUGAGAUGUUGGGUUAAGUCCCGCAACGAGCGCAACCCUUGUCUCUAGUUACCAUCAUUUGGUUGGGGACUCUAGAGAUACUGCCAAGGUUAACUUGGAGGAAGGUGGGAUGACGUCAAAUCAUCAUGCCCCUUAUGUUCUGGGCUACACACGUGCUACAAUGGCCGGUACAGACGGAGGCGAAGCCGCGAGGCGGAGCAAAUCCGAAAAAGCCGGUCUCAGUUCGGAUUGCAGGCUGCAAUUCGCCUGCAUGAAGUCGGAAUCGCUAGUAAUCGCAGGUCAGCAUACUGCGGUGAAUACGUUCCCGGGCCUU
RNAcentral lists this ribosomal RNA (474 nucleotides) under uncultured Desulfosporosinus sp. RNAcentral's name for it is "bacterial SSU rRNA". It matches the Rfam family "Bacterial small subunit ribosomal RNA", at positions 908 to 1382 of the family's 1533-position model. The record is from RNAcentral. Lineage: Bacteria; Bacillati; Bacillota; Clostridia; Eubacteriales; Desulfitobacteriaceae.